Molecule: non-coding RNA, 1242 nt
Organism: Sus scrofa (pig)
Lineage: Eukaryota; Metazoa; Chordata; Mammalia; Artiodactyla; Suidae
Source: RefSeq, a predicted model, not a curated record
GCCCGCCCCCCACCCCCGCCACGUCUUUUCAUCUCCCCACACCAAGCUGCCCCGUGGCCCAGCUAACUCAGACUGGGUGUUUUAGGAAAAGGUGACUCAGCUGAGAGUCUGUCAACCUGGGUACCGGGCCACUCGACCUCGGGCCCCGUCCCUUGUUCCCAAUACUGACGCCUCUGCGAGCCACUUCCUCACCCGGGACUAGUGGCAGAUCUGCUUGCUCGUCAUCCCUCUGCUUAAGAGCAUGGCAUCAGCAGACCCUCCAAUAGGCCUCAAAUCUGCUCCCGUCCCCUCCACCCGGUGGCCUGCUUCCGAGAGCCCGCGUGUGUCGCUGACGUGCACCUGUCCAGUGGCCGCUGACCAUGGCCGGACUCCCAGAAGCCCAGGUUCUGGACAUGCGGGGUGACCUCGGGCAAGGCUCUGGCCCUGCGAAGCUUGGCCUGGUUCUCUCUGAGGACUCAGGCAGCUCAGGGGGAGAGAGGCCGGAUCCAGGCCAGCCUGGCCAGGCAGAAGGCAGCUCUCCGGGGCAGGCAGGCCUGUCCGGGCAUGUCAGGCCCACGGACUGUGAACAAGGGCCAGAGCCCAACAUGGGGGCGGGGAGCAGCUCCCAGGAGGCAAGCGUGUGACUUGAGGCAGAGCCCACAGACUAGAGAGGGCUCUACCGUCCGAGGGGCCCUGCCCGGGGACAAUCCAAGAAGCAUCCUGGAGGAACCUGACAUCUCCGUGGCUUCUGCGUGUAGCUGGAGCCUGUGCUCAGUGCUUCAGCCCACCAGAGACAGCGUGGUGCGAGGUCCUUAGGUAGCCCUGGGGUGGGUGGGUGUGUAAGGCCCGCACAGGGUCUGUGAGCGUGGCGUGGGCGAAAGCGGGCGAGAGAUGAGUACACAUUGCCGCUGACUCCUCCCACAGCACCGUCCUGUCAAAUCAUGCUCAUCCUGAGCCAUGAUUCCCAUGGAAACCGACUGGGAAGGAAGAGGAGCAAAAGGAGAGGCAGCUCCCAGCUUUCUCAACGGCUCCGCCAACCUUUCCAGCUUUGGACAGAGGUGGGAAAAAGAGCUCUUGGCUCUCAGCCUGUCCCAGGCUACCACAGGCAGAUGAGAAGACAGAGGUGCCUGAAAGGGACUUGCCCUAUAACACCACCGGCCAGCAGGUGCCUGAACCAGGACUUGAACCCAGGUCUCCUGGGCCAGUGCACAUUGGAGGGCCUGUUGGAGGCCCCUCUGUUGGAGUGGAGGCGGACCUGAACAG